UCAUUAAGCGGUGGAAAAGAAACUAACCAGGAUUCUCUUAGUAACGGCGAGUGAACAGAGAAGAGCCCAGUAUCGAAGCCUAUUCGCGCUUGUGAAUAAGGCAAUGUGAUAUUAAGAUGUUUGCCUGGGGCGGUCGGUCUAUUCAAAGUCCAGCAUAGAUUAUGGCUCUGGAUCUUGUCCAUAGUGGGUGAAAGACCCGUUCGGAUAGACUGUCAGGCAUGUUGACUGCCCUCAGAUGCAUUCAUCGUGGAGUCGGAUAGCUUGAGAAUGCUGUCCAAAGUGGGUGGUAAACUCCAUCCAAGGCUAAAUAUUUGCACGAGUCCGAUAGCUGACAAGUACCGUGAGGGAAAGUUGAAAAGUACUCUGAAGAGAGAGUAAACAGUACGUGAAGCCGCUUGCAUGGAAGCUGGUGGAGUCAAGCUGCAUGCCUCUAGAAUGAAGCCAGUGAUUGUUGUGUUCAAAGCUGAGGGAGUCGGGCGACUGUCUUGAAAACAGGCAGACAGAUUUAUCUGUUUCCGGUGAGCACUGGUCUGUGCCUACGGAGUUGACCGACGCGCUCCUCUGUGUCGCUGGCGUAUUUUCUCUAUGGCAGGCAUCACGAUCGACAAUGUUGUUGGCGUGUGGUAGUCUAACCAUGGGCUGUGGGUUCUGAAUCCAUGCCCGGUGGAAAGGCAGGUGGCUUGCUGGCUGGUCUCGUGCUGGUCAGUGAGUUCUUUGCGGCUGCGGCCAGCUGACUACCAAUGUGUUAUGCUCACAGCUAUACAAUUUGUCGUUGCUGAAUGAGGCCCGGCGCUUUUGCUGGUCGUCUGGCGGGCUGCGCGGGUGUGUUUCCAUUUCUGAUGGUGCAUGCCUGUUGCUGGCCUGUGAGAGUUGUGCUAGCGAUUGUGCCAGGGCGUGAAUCGUGGUGUUGUGGUAGACGUUCCAC
Molecule: ribosomal RNA, 925 nt
Filed under: Diplectaninae gen. sp. 1.1 MVT-2019
Lineage: Eukaryota; Metazoa; Platyhelminthes; Monogenea; Dactylogyridea; Diplectanidae
Description: partial large subunit ribosomal RNA
Rfam family: Eukaryotic large subunit ribosomal RNA
Source: RNAcentral